This 433-nucleotide ribosomal RNA is filed under the name uncultured bacterium. Its description in RNAcentral is "partial 16S ribosomal RNA". It matches the Rfam family "Bacterial small subunit ribosomal RNA", at positions 29 to 507 of the family's 1533-position model. The record is from RNAcentral.
AACGAACGCUGGCGGCAUGCCUAACACAUGCAAGUCGAACGAGACCUUCGGGUCUAGUGGCGCACGGGUGCGUAACGCGUGGGAACCUGCCCUUAGGUUCGGAAUAACUCCCCGAAAGGGGUGCUAAUACCGGAUAAUGUCUUCGGACCAACGAUUUAUCGCCUUUGGAUGGGCCCGCGUUGGAUUAGCUAGUUGGUAGGGUAAAAGCCUACCAAGGCGACGAUCCAUAGCUGGUCUGAGAGGAUGAUCAGCCACACUGGGACUGAGACACGGCCCAGACUCCUACGGGAGGCAGCAGUGGGGAAUAUUGGACAAUGGGCGAAAGCCUGAUCCAGCAAUGCCGCGUGAGUGAUGAAGGCCUUAGGGUUGUAAAGCUCUUUUACCCGGGAUGAUAAUGACAGUACCGGGAGAAUAAGCGCCGGCUAACUCCGUG